UACAGAGGGGGCAAGCGUUGUUCGGAAUUACUGGGCGUAAAGGGCGCGUAGGCGGCCCGCUAAGUCGAACGUGAAAUCCCCAGGCUCAACCUGGGAACUGCGUCCGAUACUGGCAGGCUUGAAUCCGGGAGAGGGAUGUGGAAUUCCAGGUGUAGCGGUGAAAUGCGUAGAUAUCUGGAGGAAUACCGGUGGCGAAGGCGGCAUCCUGGGCCGAGAUUGACGCUGAUGAGCGAAAGCUAGGGGAGCAAACGGG
This 253-nucleotide ribosomal RNA is filed under the name uncultured bacterium. RNAcentral describes it as "partial 16S ribosomal RNA". It matches the Rfam family "Bacterial small subunit ribosomal RNA", at positions 524 to 776 of the family's 1533-position model. The record is from RNAcentral.